CGGCCAGACUCCUACGGGAGGCAGCAGUGGGGAAUAUUGCACAAUGGGGGAAACCCUGAUGCAGCGACGCCGCGUGAGUGAAGAAGUAUUUCGGUAUGUAAAGCUCUAUCAGCAGGGAAGAAAAUGACGGUACCUGAUUAAGAAGCCCCGGCUAACUACGUGCCAGCAGCCGCGGUAAUACGUAGGGGGCAAGCGUUAUCCGGAUUUACUGGGUGUAAAGGGAGCGUAGACGGCAGUGCAAGUCUGAAGUGAAAGCCCCGGGCUUAACCCGGGAACUGCUUUGGAAACUGUACGGCUGGAGUGCUGGAGAGGUAAGCGGAAUUCCUAGUGUAGCGGUGAAAUGCGUAGAUAUUAGGAGGAACACCAGUGGCGAAGGCGGCUUACUGGACUGUAACUGACGUUGAGGCUCGAAAGCGUGGGGAGCAAACAGGAUUAGAUACCCUAGUA
RNAcentral lists this ribosomal RNA (447 nucleotides) under uncultured bacterium. RNAcentral's name for it is "bacterial SSU rRNA". It matches the Rfam family "Bacterial small subunit ribosomal RNA", at positions 328 to 792 of the family's 1533-position model. The record is from RNAcentral.